AGGAUAAACGCUGGCGGCGUGCCUAACACAUGCAAGUCGAACGCCCUUUUGCUCGCAAGAGCCAGAGGGAGUGGCGGACGGGUGAGUAACACAUGGGUAACCUACCCCCCAGUGAGGAAUACCGGCGAGAAAUCGCCGACAAGACCGCAUAGGCUCGGUCCGGUGAAGCGGAGCGAGCAAAGUCUCGCAAGAGACGCUGAGGGAUGGGCCUGUGGCCGAUUAGCUAGUUGGUAAGGUAAAGGCUUACCAAGGCGACGAUCGGUAGCUGGUCUGAGAGGACGAACAGCCACACUGGGAUUGAGAACGGCCCAGACUCCUACGGGGGGCAGCAGUGAGGAAUUUUCCGCAAUGGACGCAAGUCUGACGGAGCAACGCCGCGUGCAGGAGGACGCUUUUCGGAGUGUAAACUGCUUUUCUGUGGGACGAGCGUGGACGGUACCACGAGGAAGAAGCCCCGGCUAACUACGUGCCAGCAGCCGCGGUAA
This 485-nucleotide ribosomal RNA is filed under the name uncultured bacterium. RNAcentral's name for it is "SSU rRNA". It matches the Rfam family "Bacterial small subunit ribosomal RNA", at positions 26 to 523 of the family's 1533-position model. The record is from RNAcentral.